This 491-nucleotide ribosomal RNA is filed under the name uncultured bacterium. Its description in RNAcentral is "bacterial SSU rRNA". It matches the Rfam family "Bacterial small subunit ribosomal RNA", at positions 28 to 507 of the family's 1533-position model. The record is from RNAcentral.
GAUGAACGCUAGCGGCAGGCUUAACACAUGCAAGUCGAGGGGCAGCGAGGAAGUUGCUUGCAACUUCUGUCGGCGACCGGCGCACGGGUGCGUAACGCGUAUGUAACCUACCUUAAACAGGGGGCAUAACACUGAGAAAUUGGUACUAAUUCCCCCAUAACACUUUUGAAGGCAUCUUUGGAAGUUGAAAGUUCCGGCGGUUUAAGAUGGACAUGCGUUGUAUUAGUUAGUUGGUGAGGUAACGGCUCACCAAGACGACGAUACAUAGGGGGACUGAGAGGUUAACCCCCCACAUUGGUACUGAGACACGGACCAAACUCCUACGGGAGGCAGCAGUGAGGAAUAUUGGUCAAUGGGCGCGAGCCUGAACCAGCCAAGUAGCGUGAAGGAUGACUGCCCUACGGGUUGUAAACUUCUUUUGUUUGGGAAUAAAUGAUACUACGUGUAGUAUUUUGCAUGUACCUUACGAAUAAGCAUCGGCUAAUUCCGUG